UACGUAGGGGGCAAGCGUUGUCCGGAAUCAUUGGGCGUAAAGCGCGUGUAGGCGGCCCGAUAAGUCCGCUGUGAAAGUCCAGGGCUCAACCCUGGAAUGCCGGUGGAUACUGUCGGGCUCGAGUCCGGAAGAGGCGAGUGGAAUUCCUGGUGUAGCGGUGAAAUGCGCAGAUAUCAGGAGGAACACCUAUUGCGAAGGCAGCUCGCUGGGACGUUACUGACGCUGAGACGCGAAAGCGUGGGGAGCAAACAGG
RNAcentral lists this ribosomal RNA (253 nucleotides) under uncultured bacterium. RNAcentral describes it as "partial 16S ribosomal RNA". It matches the Rfam family "Bacterial small subunit ribosomal RNA", at positions 524 to 776 of the family's 1533-position model. The record is from RNAcentral.